GGACUACCGGGGUAUCUAAUCCUGUUUGCUACCCACGCUUUCGUGCUUCAGCGUCAGUUAUCGUCCAGUAAGCCGUUUACACCACCGGUGUUCCUCCUGAUAUCUACGCAUUUCACCGCUACACCAGGAAUUCCACUUACCUCUCCGACACUCUAGCCUCUCAGUAUUCGGCGCACCCUCCCGGUUGAGCCGGGAGAUUUCACACCAAACUUAAAAGACCGCCUACGCACCCUUUACGCCCAGUAACUCCGAACAACGCUUGCUGCCUACGUAUUACCGCGGCUGCUGGCAC
This 292-nucleotide ribosomal RNA is filed under the name uncultured Acidobacteriota bacterium. Its description in RNAcentral is "uncultured Acidobacteria bacterium partial 16S ribosomal RNA". Lineage: Bacteria; Pseudomonadati; Acidobacteriota. The record is from RNAcentral.